UACGGAGGGUGCAAGCGUUAUCCGGAAUCACUGGGUUUAAAGGGUGCGUAGGCGGUCGGGUAAGUCCGUCGUGAAAUUCCAUGGCUCAACCAUAGGAACUGCGAUUGAUACUGCCCGACUUGAAUCAGGUUGAGGUCGGCGGAAUGUGACAUGUAGCGGUGAAAUGCAUAGAUAUGUCAUAGAACACCGAUUGCGAAGGCAGCUGGCUGGGCCUGCAUUGACGCUGAGGCACGAAAGCGUGGGGAGCAAACAGG
This 254-nucleotide ribosomal RNA is filed under the name uncultured bacterium. RNAcentral's name for it is "partial 16S ribosomal RNA". It matches the Rfam family "Bacterial small subunit ribosomal RNA", at positions 524 to 776 of the family's 1533-position model. The record is from RNAcentral.